This 250-nucleotide ribosomal RNA is filed under the name uncultured bacterium. Its description in RNAcentral is "partial 16S ribosomal RNA". It matches the Rfam family "Bacterial small subunit ribosomal RNA", at positions 524 to 773 of the family's 1533-position model. The record is from RNAcentral.
GACAGAGGAGGCUAGCGUUGUUCGGAAUCACUGGGCUUAAAGCGCGUGUAGGCGGCGGAGCAAGUGUCGUGUGAAAUCCCUCGGCUCAACCGAGGAACUGCACGGCAAACUACUUCGCUUGAGCGUGGUAGAGGUGCCUGGAACUCUCGGUGGAGCGGUGAAAUGCGUUGAUAUCGAGAGGAACGCCGGAAGCGAAAGCGAGGCACUGGGCCGCUGCUGACGCUGAGACGCGAAAGCGUGGGGAGCAAAC